CGGGGACAGGCUUGUUUCCCAGGUGAACUGACACCAGUGACUGCCUUGCAGGGUGCUGCCAGGUGACACAAGAUGAACACUGAAUCCUAGAGAAAUGGUUGGAAGAGGGACCAGAGUUCAGCCUCUCUGCCCUGGGAUGUGAAUGGACCCUUUGUAUGUACAUUUUGACAUACUGGAAAGCCUGGAAUGUCCAGAAUGCUCCAUAUCUUUGGAAGAUCCUUAUUUUGCCUGAAGAAGAAAGUCAUAUGUUUGAGAUAAUCGCAUAGAAUGAUGUGGGUGGUGGAGAUUCAAGAAAUCACACUUAAAAAAUUUCUAUAGACAUGUGCUCAGGAAAGCCAAGUGAUCUGUAUUAGCAUAAAGAGGCUCCAAGAGAGAUGUCAAUGUUUUGUUUGUUACUUUAGCAAGCUAUUAUUUUAAAAAAAGUAUGAUAUUUAUGCAUAUGAAAACAUUUUUCAGAGCUGAGGAUCUAAUAAAGAUUUAUAGCAACCAAGGGAG
RNAcentral lists this long non-coding RNA (495 nucleotides) under Cervus hanglu yarkandensis (Yarkand deer). Its description in RNAcentral is "lncRNA (ENSCHYG00000015049.1)". Lineage: Eukaryota; Metazoa; Chordata; Mammalia; Artiodactyla; Cervidae. The record is from RNAcentral.